Molecule: unclassified non-coding RNA, 755 nt
Filed under: Hevea brasiliensis (rubber tree)
Lineage: Eukaryota; Viridiplantae; Streptophyta; Magnoliopsida; Malpighiales; Euphorbiaceae
Source: RNAcentral
CACCAACAUAACUGGCUACUCAGUUCUGGUGGGCUUAGCCUCUGGACUGGAGCCAGUGUGCAGCCAGGCUUACGGCAGUAAGAACUGGGACCUCUUGUCACUCUCUCUCCAACGCAUGAUCUUAAUCCUCUUGAUAGCAAUCAUACCUGUAAGCCUCUUAUGGCUUAAUCUUGAAUCUAUCAUGAACUUCAUGGGUCAAGAUCCAAACAUCACAGCAAUGGCAGCAACAUACUGUAUUUACUCUCUUCCUGAUCUUUUAACAAAUACUUUGCUGCAACCUUUGAGGGUUUUCCUAAGAUCACAGAGGGUGACAAAACCCAUAAUGUACUGCUCACUUCUGGCCGUUAUAUUCCACGUGCCACUGAAUUACAUGCUGGUAGUGGUGAUGGGGCUUGGGGUCGCUGGGGUGGCGAUGGCAUCAGUGGUGACUAACAUGAACAUGGUGAUUUUGAUGGUGGGAUACGUGUGGUGGGUAAGUGGACGGUGGGAGAUGAGAUGGACGGUUAGGAUUGAAGGGGUGUGUGGUGGGGUGGGACCACUGUUUAAGUUGGCAGUGCCUAGUUGUUUAGGUAUAUGCUUGGAGUGGUGGUGGUAUGAGAUAGUGAUAGUAAUGUCCGGGUACUUGCCUAAUCCCACUCUGGCUGUGGCCGCCACUGGGAUACUCAUCCAGACCACUAGCAUGAUGUAUACUGUCCCUAUGGCCCUUGCUGGUUGUGUCUCUGCUCGGGUUUGUCUCUUUCCAUACCCACUUAUAA